This 253-nucleotide ribosomal RNA is filed under the name uncultured bacterium. Its description in RNAcentral is "partial 16S ribosomal RNA". It matches the Rfam family "Bacterial small subunit ribosomal RNA", at positions 524 to 776 of the family's 1533-position model. The record is from RNAcentral.
UACGUAGGUGGCAAGCGUUGUCCGGAAUUAUUGGGCGUAAAGCGCGCGCAGGCGGUCCUUUAAGUCUGAUGUGAAAGCCCACGGCUCAACCGUGGAGGGUCAUUGGAAACUGGGGCACUUGAGUACAGAAGAGAAGAGUGGAAUUCCACGUGUAGCGGUGAAAUGCGUAGAGAUGUGGAGGAACACCAGUGGCGAAGGCGACUCUUUGGUCUGUAACUGACGCUGAGGCGCGAAAGCGUGGGGAGCAAACAGG